This 102-nucleotide ribosomal RNA is filed under the name uncultured bacterium. RNAcentral describes it as "partial 16S ribosomal RNA". It matches the Rfam family "Bacterial small subunit ribosomal RNA", at positions 1365 to 1482 of the family's 1533-position model. The record is from RNAcentral.
AAUAUGUUCCUGAGCCUUGUACACACCGCCCGUCAAGCCACGAAAGCCAGGGGUACCCGAAGUCGCCUCAUAAGCGCCCACGGUAAACUGGUGAUUGGGACU